RNAcentral lists this ribosomal RNA (145 nucleotides) under Staphylococcus epidermidis. RNAcentral's name for it is "partial 23S ribosomal RNA". It matches the Rfam family "Bacterial large subunit ribosomal RNA", at positions 1 to 144 of the family's 2925-position model. Lineage: Bacteria; Bacillati; Bacillota; Bacilli; Caryophanales; Staphylococcaceae. The record is from RNAcentral.
AGAUUAAGUUAUUAAGGGCGCACGGUGGAUGCCUUGGCACUAGAAGCCGAUGAAGGACGUUACUAACGACGAUAUGCUUUGGGUAGCUGUAAGUAAGCGUUGAUCCAGAGAUUUCCGAAUGGGGGAACCCAGCAUGAGUUAUGUC